Molecule: long non-coding RNA, 393 nt
Organism: Cololabis saira (Pacific saury)
Lineage: Eukaryota; Metazoa; Chordata; Actinopteri; Beloniformes; Belonidae
Exons: 3
Source: RefSeq, a predicted model, not a curated record
AGGUUCUUCCAGCGGUCUACCAGUCCCCGCCAUAAUUGCUCUGGUUGUCGUGGCUCCACUGAUCCUCAUUGCUGUCAUCUGUUUCUUCUUUCUACGAAGGAAUAAAGGACAUGCAACCAGUGUGAUCUACGAGGCUCCCCACUUUGACUCUGAGCAAGCAGAGACGGACAAACACAGCACGAGUUCCUCCAGAGGAUCUUAUCAAUGGUGCCAAGUGCCUGUGUAUGAUUCCUUGGACUACUUUGAGCAAGUGGAGACUAAAAGAAGUGAAUAAGGAUUUACUCCAUCAUUAUACCCAACUCUUCACAUUGUAUAUCAAGUGUAUUAUUUUGCCUUAUUGAUGUAAAUUCUUUUGUUUAAUGAAAUAUUUUAUAUUAUAAUAAUAAAAAUGUU